RNAcentral lists this ribosomal RNA (487 nucleotides) under uncultured Pseudomonadota bacterium. Its description in RNAcentral is "bacterial SSU rRNA". It matches the Rfam family "Bacterial small subunit ribosomal RNA", at positions 355 to 833 of the family's 1533-position model. Lineage: Bacteria; Pseudomonadati; Pseudomonadota. The record is from RNAcentral.
UAGGGAAUAUUGCGCAAUGGGCGAAAGCCUGACGCAGCGACGCCGCGUGGGUGAUGAAGGCCUUCGGGUCGUAAAGCCCUGUCGAGGGGAAAGAAACGGUGCCGACCCAACACGUCGGUGCCCUGACGGUACCCCUAAAGGAAGCACCGGCUAACUCCGUGCCAGCAGCCGCGGUAAUACGGAGGGUGCGAGCGUUGUUCGGAAUCACUGGGCGUAAAGGGCGUGUAGGCGGUCCGCUAAGUCUGAUGUGAAAGCCCGGGGCUCACCCCCGGAAGGGCAUUGGAAACUGACGGACUCGAGUCCCGAAGAGGAGGGUGGAAUUCCUGGUGUAGCGGUGAAAUGCGUAGAUAUCAGGAGGAACACCGGUGGCGAAGGCGGCCUCUGGACGGUGACUGACGCUGAGCGCGAAAGCGUGGGGAGCAAACAGGAUUAGGAUACCCGUGGUAGUCCACGCCGUAAACGAUGAGCACUAGGUGUCGUGAGUAUU